AAACUAGAUACAAGCGAGCGGCGGACGGGUGAGUAACACGUGGGUAACCUGCCCAAGAGACUGGGAUAACACCUGGAAACAGAUGCUAAUACCGGAUAACAACACUAGACGCAUGUCUAGAGUUUGAAAGAUGGUUCUGCUAUCACUCUUGGAUGGACCUGCGGUGCAUUAGCUAGUUGGUAAGGUAACGGCUUACCAAGGCAAUGAUGCAUAGCCGAGUUGAGAGACUGAUCGGCCACAUUGGGACUGAGACACGGCCCAAACUCCUACGGGAGGCAGCAGUAGGGAAUCUUCCACAAUGGACGAAAGUCUGAUGGAGCAACGCCGCGUGAGUGAAGAAGGGUUUCGGCUCGUAAAGCUCUGUUGGUAGUGAAGAAAGAUAGAGGUAGUAACUGGCCUUUAUUUGACGGUAAUUACUUAGAAAGUCACGGCUAACUACGUGCCAGCAGCCGCGGUAAUACGUAGGUGGCAAGCGUUGUCCGGAUUUAUUGGGCGUAAAGCGAGUGCAGGCGGUUCAAUAAGUCUGAUGUGAAAGCCUUCGGCUCAACCGGAGAAUUGCAUCAGAAACUGUUGAACUUGAGUGCAGAACAGGAGAGUGGAACUCCAUGUGUAGCGGUGGAAUGCGUAGAUAUAUGGAAGAACACCAGUGGCGAAGGCGGCUCUCUGGUCUGCAACUGAC
Molecule: ribosomal RNA, 679 nt
Filed under: uncultured bacterium
Lineage: Bacteria
Description: bacterial SSU rRNA
Rfam family: Bacterial small subunit ribosomal RNA
Source: RNAcentral